AGCGAACGCUGGCGGCAGGCUUAACACAUGCAAGUCGAGCGGGCGUAGCAAUACGUCAGCGGCAGACGGGUGAGUAACGCGUGGGAACGUACCUUUUGGUUCGGAACAACACAGGGAAACUUGUGCUAAUACCGGAUAAGCCCUUACGGGGAAAGAUUUAUCGCCGAAAGAUCGGCCCGCGUCUGAUUAGCUAGUUGGUGAGGUAACGGCUCACCAAGGCGACGAUCAGUAGCUGGUCGAGAGGAUGAUCAGCCACAUUGGGACUGAGACACGGCCCAAACUCCUACGGGAGGCAGCAGUGGGGAAUAUUGGACAAUGGGCGCAAGCCUGAUCCAGCCAUGCCGCGUGAGUGAUGAAGGCCCUAGGGUCGUAAAGCUC
This 378-nucleotide ribosomal RNA is filed under the name uncultured bacterium. Its description in RNAcentral is "bacterial SSU rRNA". It matches the Rfam family "Bacterial small subunit ribosomal RNA", at positions 29 to 433 of the family's 1533-position model. The record is from RNAcentral.